This is a long non-coding RNA of Solanum stenotomum, 338 nucleotides long. RefSeq lists it as uncharacterized. The transcript is spliced from 4 exons. The record is from RefSeq and is a predicted model, not a curated record. NCBI's taxonomy places the organism in Eukaryota, Viridiplantae, Streptophyta, Magnoliopsida, Solanales, Solanaceae.
AUCAAUGUGAUCAAUCUUCCACCCCAAGUUGUGGUGACAGUUUCUUCUGUGAUGAAAGGCCAAGUGUGAAAAGGGAACUUGUUAACAUCUGGAAUAGAAAAUUGCAAGCUCAAGGGGAGUGCACAUGUACACGUGAUGGGGAGUUAAAAGAAGAAUUUGCACCAACAAAAAUUCAAAGUUUCUUAGAUUUUGGGAUAAAAUGGAGGGACUUCCAGAGAUUACAAACAGUGCUGGAACAGAGAAUCUUAAUAAUCAGUAUACUGUACUCAGUGUCACUUCUGGCGUCUUGCAUUUUGUUGGCGAUUCAAUGGUUCCUGAUACCAUUGAUAAAACUGCUC